Molecule: ribosomal RNA, 253 nt
Filed under: uncultured bacterium
Lineage: Bacteria
Description: partial 16S ribosomal RNA
Rfam family: Bacterial small subunit ribosomal RNA
Source: RNAcentral
UACAGAGGGGGCAAGCGUUGUUCGGAAUUACUGGGCGUAAAGGGCGCGUAGGCGGCCCGCUAAGUCGAACGUGAAAUCCCCGAGCUCAACUCGGGAACUGCGUCCGAUACUGGUGGGCUUGAAUCCGGGAGAGGGAUGCGGAAUUCCAGGUGUAGCGGUGAAAUGCGUAGAUAUACGGAGGAACACCAGCGGCGAAGGCGGGUAGCUGGGCCAACACUGACGCUGAUGCGCGAAAGCCAGGGGAGCAAACGGG